GCUGACACAUCCCUGCCAAUCUCCGGCAGACCCUCCCUCCCAGACCCUCCCACCUCCUGGACAGCAUCCAUGUUGAAGCUGCCUUCAACAUGGAUGCUGUCCAGGAAGUAGGAGGGUCUGGGAGGGAGGGUCUAAUGGAGAUUGGCAGGGAUGUGUCAG
Pelobates cultripes (western spadefoot toad) is the source of this 159-nucleotide non-coding RNA. The record is from the annotation of a GenBank genome assembly. NCBI's taxonomy places the organism in Eukaryota, Metazoa, Chordata, Amphibia, Anura, Pelobatidae.